Molecule: ribosomal RNA, 253 nt
Filed under: uncultured bacterium
Lineage: Bacteria
Description: partial 16S ribosomal RNA
Rfam family: Bacterial small subunit ribosomal RNA
Source: RNAcentral
UACGUAGGUGGCAAGCGUUGUCCGGAUUUAUUGGGCGUAAAGAGCGUGUAGGCGGUCAGGUAGGUCCGUUGUGAAAACUCGAGGCUCAACCUCGAGACGCCGAUGGAAACCAUCUGACUAGAGUCCGGAAGAGGAGAGUGGAAUUCCCGGUGUAGCAGUGAAAUGCGUAGAGAUCGGGAGGAACACCAGUGGCGAAGGCGGCUACCUGGACCAGCACUGACACUGAAGCACGAAAGCGUGGGGAGCAAACAGG